UGGGGAAUAUUGCACAAUGGGCGAAAGCCUGAUGCAGCAACGCCGCGUGAGGGAUGAAGGCCUUCGGGUUGUAAACCUCUUUUAGCAGGGAAGAAGCGAAAGUGACGGUACCUGCAGAAAAAGCACCGGCUAACUACGUG
RNAcentral lists this ribosomal RNA (140 nucleotides) under uncultured bacterium. RNAcentral describes it as "partial 16S ribosomal RNA". It matches the Rfam family "Bacterial small subunit ribosomal RNA", at positions 355 to 507 of the family's 1533-position model. The record is from RNAcentral. RNAcentral also lists the same sequence under 1 other name.